This 388-nucleotide ribosomal RNA is filed under the name uncultured bacterium. RNAcentral's name for it is "bacterial SSU rRNA". It matches the Rfam family "Bacterial small subunit ribosomal RNA", at positions 97 to 520 of the family's 1533-position model. The record is from RNAcentral.
GGCAGACGGGAGAGUAACACGUGGGAACGUGCCCUUCAGUUCGGAACAACCCAGGGAAACUUGGGCUAAUACCGGAUACGUCCGUAAGGAGAAAGAUUUAUCGCUGAAGGAUCGGCCCGCGUCUGAUUAGCUAGUUGGUGGGGUAAUGGCUCACCAAGGCGACGAUCAGUAGCUGGUCUGAGAGGAUGAUCAGCCUCACUGGGACUGAGACACGGCCCAGACUCCUACGGGAGGCAGCAGUGGGGAAUCUUGGACAAUGGGCGCAAGCCUGAUCCAGCCUUGCCGCGUGGGUGAUGAAGGCCCUAGGGUUGUAAAGCCCUUUCGGCGGGGAAGAUAAUGACGGUACCCGCAGAAGAAGCCCCGGCUAACUUCGUGCCAGCCGCCGCGG